ACGGGAGGCAGCAGUGGGGGAUGUUGCACAAUGGGGGAAACCCUGAUGCAGCGACGCCGCGUGAGUGAUGAAGUAUUUCGGUAUGUAAAGCUCUAUCAGCAGGGAAGAAAAUGACGGUACCUGACUAGGAAGCUCCGGCUAAAUACGUGCCAGCAGCCGCGGUAAUACGUAUGGAGCAAGCGUUAUCCGGAUUUACUGGGUGUAAAGGGAGCGUAGACGGCGUGGCAAGUCUGAUGUGAAAGCUAUGGGCUCAACCCAUAAACUGCAUUGGAAACUGUCAUGCUAGAGUGUCGGAGAGGUAAGCGGAAUUCCUAGUGUAGCGGUGAAAUGCGUAGAUAUUAGGAGGAACACCAGUGGCGAAGGCGGCUUACUGGACGAUAACUGACGUUGAGGCUCGAAAGCGUGGGGAGCAAACAGGAUUAGAUACCCUGGUA
RNAcentral lists this ribosomal RNA (434 nucleotides) under uncultured bacterium. RNAcentral describes it as "partial 16S ribosomal RNA". It matches the Rfam family "Bacterial small subunit ribosomal RNA", at positions 341 to 792 of the family's 1533-position model. The record is from RNAcentral.